Molecule: ribosomal RNA, 603 nt
Filed under: Paraburkholderia phenazinium
Lineage: Bacteria; Pseudomonadati; Pseudomonadota; Betaproteobacteria; Burkholderiales; Burkholderiaceae
Description: bacterial SSU rRNA
Rfam family: Bacterial small subunit ribosomal RNA
Source: RNAcentral
GCCGGAUUAAUACCGCAUACGCUCUACGGAGGAAAGGGGGGGAUCGCAAGACCUCCCGCUACAGGGGCGGCCGAUGGCAGAUUAGCUAGUUGGUGGGGUAAAGGCCUACCAAGGCGACGAUCUGUAGCUGGUCUGAGAGGACGACCAGCCACACUGGGACUGAGACACGGCCCAGACUCCUACGGGAGGCAGCAGUGGGGAAUUUUGGACAAUGGGGGAAACCCUGAUCCAGCAAUGCCGCGUGUGUGAAGAAGGCCUUCGGGUUGUAAAGCACUUUUGUCCGGAAAGAAAUCCUUUGAGUUAAUACCGAGGGGGGAUGACGGUACCGGAAGAAUAAGCACCGGCUAACUACGUGCCAGCAGCCGCGGUAAUACGUAGGGUGCAAGCGUUAAUCGGAAUUACUGGGCGUAAAGCGUGCGCAGGCGGUCCGCUAAGACAGAUGUGAAAUCCCCGGGCUUAACCUGGGAACUGCAUUUGUGACUGGCGGGCUAGAGUAUGGCAGAGGGGGGUAGAAUUCCACGUGUAGCAGUGAAAUGCGUAGAGAUGUGGAGGAAUACCGAUGGCGAAGGCAGCCCCCUGGGCCAAUACUGACGCUCAUGCACG